GAUAGCUCAGUUGGUAGAGCACUCGGCUGUUAACCGAGUUGUCACAGGUUCGAGUCCUGUUC
RNAcentral lists this transfer RNA (62 nucleotides) under Paenibacillus thiaminolyticus. It matches the Rfam family "tRNA", at positions 6 to 65 of the family's 71-position model. From Rfam's summary of the family: Transfer RNA (tRNA) molecules are approximately 80 nucleotides in length. Their secondary structure includes four short double-helical elements and three loops (D, anti-codon, and T loops). Further hydrogen bonds mediate the characteristic L-shaped molecular structure. tRNAs have two regions of fundamental functional importance: the anti-codon, which is responsible for specific mRNA codon recognition, and the 3' end, to which the tRNAs corresponding amino acid is attached (by aminoacyl-tRNA synthetases). tRNAs cope with the degeneracy of the genetic code in two manners: having more than one tRNA (with a specific anti-codon) for a particular amino acid; and 'wobble' base-pairing, i.e. permitting non-standard base-pairing at the 3rd anti-codon position. The record is from RNAcentral. Lineage: Bacteria; Bacillati; Bacillota; Bacilli; Caryophanales; Paenibacillaceae.